Molecule: long non-coding RNA, 1502 nt
Filed under: Danio rerio (zebrafish)
Lineage: Eukaryota; Metazoa; Chordata; Actinopteri; Cypriniformes; Danionidae
Description: lncRNA si:ch73-214d15.1 (ENSDARG00000099616.2)
Source: RNAcentral
UUAGGACACGGGGUUACAAAGUAACCUGCUCACCUAAUGUUUACGUUCGGAAUAAUUAUAUUAUUUGCUAAUUAAUAACCUUAUGUGGAACUCUGAAUCUGUGUCUCAUUUCGGAGUCUGCUACUGUCCACCAGAGGUCGCGUUUCAGUCACGGACGCAUGCUUUGAGAGCUUUCUGAAUAAAUGAAAUAUGUGGUUUUUCGCCAAGCACACCUGGAGUGCUUAAAUAUAAUAAUAUUAUGUUAAAUAUAAACAUAUUAUGGUGUUUUUAUGCUUUAGAAGAGUCAAAAACUGACAUACAGCGCCUUUAAAUUAGACGUACUAUUUCCUAACCCAAAACGAUAGUGUUUACAUUUCUACAAAAUGCUUUAUAAUUAAAGAACUUCUAGAUAUUUGGACUUGAAACAAGACAAAAAAGUAAGAAAAGCACUUUUUUUGCAGCGUAUAUAACCUGCUGUCAUGUCAUGCCUUAAUAUUCCUACAAUUAAAAAAAACAUUCAUCGGAUCAAAAAUUUGCAUCUCUUCCCUUCCACUUCAAAUAUACAUAUCUAGCAAUAACAUCCACAUUUGUAAGAUUAAUAAGUUAUUACAUUUGUUUUUUUUAUAUAUAAAUACAUACACAGAUACAGAAGGUGGCUUCGAAAUUGCUCGUGGUGCUUUCACAGCCUCCUACCAUCUAAAAGACGAUGUCGCACACACAGAUGAACAGGAAACAGUUCUUUUACGUUGCUGUUUUUGCGAAGUAAAAGCCCACGAAAUGCAUAAAAAGCUGCAUCGGUGAAUUUCCUGACUGUCCCGCACUCAUCGACACUCAAAUUCUCCACCGACGGUCACAACGAAACUCCAGCUUUACACACACACACACACCACACACACACACACACACACACACACACACCAGAGGGAAGUCACACUUAUUUUGGCUCUACAUUUCUGUCACAGAGAGGAGUAAAGAUAUAGAUUUAUAAGUCUUAUCAUCGGAGUACAUCAGAAUCUGCUGGUUCCAGGUUAUCACAGUGACUCUAAAAUAAAAAAUAAACGCUGAAGGACGUGGCUGACGUACAGUAAUGAUGAAUAUUUAACAACGUCUUGCUUCGUUUUCCCUUUCAAGUUGAGUCCGGCGUGUUUUAAGAGUCCAGCUAUUCUUACAUGAUCAUCAGUGCACCUUCAGGUAGAGAGGUAAAGAGUGGUAUUUGGGUGCGAUCCAGGAAAUAAAAGCAGUUUUAUAAACGUAACAUCAGCGAAAAGCAUGACUUCAGCGACAACAAAGCAGAACUGAUCUGGCUUCUCUCUUAAAUCUUUGCACAUGCACAUUAAACAUAUCAUAGUAUAUGUUGAUAUAGUAAAAUUGAACCAUAUAUGAUGUCCUUCAAGCUGAAACUGAAUAUUGAGCAGGGGGCGGGGCUUUAUUUUAUUAUGUUGAUGUACUUCAAACUGAAUUGAGUAGUGGGCGGGGCUUUAUUUUAGUAUGUUGAUGUAUUUCAAACUGAAUUGAGUAGUGGG